ACGAACGCUUGCGGCGCGCUUAAUACAUGCAAGUCGAACGAGGUAGCAAUACCUAGUGGCGCACGGGUGAGUAAUACGUGGAUAAUCUGCCCUUCAGUGGGGGAUAACCAUCCGAAAGGAUGGCUAAUACCGCAUGAGACCACAGUCCCUGCGGGGACAGAGGUUAAAGAUUUAUCGCUGAAGGAUGAGUCUGCGUGAGAUUAGCUAGUUGGUGGGGUAACGGCCUACCAAGGCAACGAUCUCUAGCUGGUCUGAGAGGAUGGCCAGCCACACUGGAACUGAGACACGGUCCAGACUCCUACGGGAGGCGGCAGUAGGGAAUAUUGCGCAAUGGGGGAAACCCUGACGCAGCGACGCCGCGUGAGUGAUGAAGGCCUUAGGGUCGUAAAGCUCUGUUGCACGGGAAGAAAAAAAUGACGGUACCGUGCGAGAAAGGAUCGGCUAACUUCGU
RNAcentral lists this ribosomal RNA (451 nucleotides) under uncultured bacterium. RNAcentral's name for it is "bacterial SSU rRNA". It matches the Rfam family "Bacterial small subunit ribosomal RNA", at positions 29 to 506 of the family's 1533-position model. The record is from RNAcentral.